AACCAUUUUCCAUUUAAAAGUGAUUUUUAUACCAUUUAUAACCCAUCAAUCUCAUAAUGAACAUUUAAAAGAACAAUGCAGAAUAAUUACACAAGCCCGACAUCGGGGUGUCACUAGUCAUGAGCAUCUACCAAGGUUUGAAUACAACAAAACAGUCAAGUGUACUAAGUACAAAAAUGGAAAUGAGUUGAAGAAACAGUGCUGCGAACGUCGUGCAGCCACCUUACUAACUCUGAUGACUCCGCGUCUGAGCAAUCAAUACCCGCUACCAGGUUUUGAAAUACCUGAAUCUGCACACGAGGUGCAAGGAGUAAUGUGAGCACACNNNNNNNNNNNNNNNNNNNNNNNNNNNNNNNNNNNNNNNNNNNNNNNNNNNNNNNNNNNNNNNNNNNNNNNNNNNNNNNNNNNNNNNNNNNNNNNNNNNNNNNNNNNNNNNNNNNNNNNNNNNNNNNNNNNNNNNNNNNNNNNNNNNNNNNNNNNNNNNNNNNNNNNNNNNNNNNNNNNNNNNNNNNNNNNNNNNNNNNNNNNNNNNNNNNNNNNNNNNNNNNNNNNNNNNNNNNNNNNNNNNNNNNNNNNNAUAACUCAUUAAGCACACAGGCUGCUAAUUCAGAAUACGAGUCGAUCGUUUUAUUAAAAAUCCAGCCUUUUGGUAAAAAUCAUUUGAAAAUGCUUUCUGACAGUUUCAGUAGGGGUUCAAUACCAUUUAUAAUAAAAGAGAUAAAAAAUCAUAGUUAGCCCCUCGGGAAAAACAUAGUUCGUAAACAGCCCCUCGGGAAAAAUAGGAAUCAUAAACACCUCAUAACAUGAAAAUCUCAGUGGAAAUAACAAAGCCAAAUCAGUGAUUAAAUUCUGAACAUCUCAUAAACCCCAACUUAAAUGAAAGUUGUUUUAAGAUAUUUGUUCAUCACUUUCGACAGAGGCUCAAUAUAAAGAUGAGUGAAAACAACCAAUAAAUCAACAUAUUCAAUAGAAACUCAUUUUAAAGAGGAGUGAAAAUCAAUAAGUUCAUAAACAGGUCUCUCAGGCAAAGCAUCACUCAUGUGCAUGUAUAUAUGUAUUGCCUCUCGGGCAAGCCUCUCAGUCACUCGUGACUCAACUCUUACCAAUCAACGCUCACACUCAGCACUCACACUUAGUAGGUACCAUAUAGUAACCGCUGCGGCGUGCAACCCAAUCCAUAUAUCACUGUGGAGUGCAGCCCGAUCCAUAUAUCUCGUCGACAGCGCACACUGGGGGUGUGCGGACUUUGGACGGGCUCUUACAGCCCAAGCGCUAUAUCGCUGCGGCGUGUAGCCCAAUCCAACAUAUUGUUGCGGCGUGCAGCCUGAUCCAUAUACAUACAUACACACACACACACACACACACACACACACACACACACACACAUAUAUAUAUAUAUAUAUAUUGUUGCAGCGUGCAGCCCGAUCCAUAACUAUAUAAUCCUCACAACCAGGCUCUCGGCCUCUCUCAGUCAUUAACUUCACAAUCACACUCUCGUUCUAUCUCAGUCAUCAACCUCACGAUCACUCGGACCAUCAGUAAAAUAGGGAACUCAACCCAAACAGUUUUCUUAUUUUUAAGAAAUAAAGUGAUAAACCAGAUUUAAACAAUAAACAGGUAACACACGACUGAGGAUAUGCUUUCAAAAUAAAGAGAGUGAGGAAAAAUAGUGGAAGUGCCCCUAAAGGUCUCAGCAGGUCGACACAAGGCCCCAAACAUGGCAUACAUCCCAAAAUAUAAUAACAUCAAAUAAUUAACUAUCAAUUACGCAUUAAAAUAAUCGUUCAGAAUGGACUAAGUCACAAUCCCCAGCGGUGCUCUACCCCACGCUCGUCAUCUAGCGUGUAAGUCACCUCAACAUAGCAUAACGAUGUGUAAUCCGGGGUUUCAAGCCCUCAGAGCAGCAUUUUCAAUAAUUACUUACCUCGAAUCGGCUAAAUCUCUAGCUCGUGAUGCCUUUGCCCCUCAAAUCAGCCUCCACGCACAUAUAGUUCUUCCAUUUUUAGCUUAAGUUCCAUGAAUUUCUUGGUUGAUUUCACAAUAGAAUCAAGUUUUAGGUUCAAAAAAUCAUACCUCCAUUCGGUUCUCUUUGAAUCCCUCUUUAAUUUCUUUCAUAAAGCUCUCAAAGUGAUCAACAAUGGAGGAAAUGAGCCGCAAAAUCGAGGAUGAAGUGACUUAAAACAUUCUACCCAGGUCUGACCCUUCCUCUUCGCGAACGCUGUCAAUGCCUUGCAUUCGCGAAGCACAAACUUACGUUGACCAACCUUUUCCCUACGCGAACGUCACACCAAUCGCGAUCGAGAUGCUUCUGCCUCCUACACCUUUGCGAACACGACAACCUUACGCGAACGCGAUGAACAAAAUACCUUGGACCCCAAUUUAUUCUACGUGAUCGCGAGUGCCUUCUUCGUGAAUGCGAAGGCUUAAUUCUAGCCUUCCUCAAAUCCUUCUACGUGAAUGCGAGGCUCCACUCGCGAACGCGAAGAGAUAAUUCUCUGCAACAGCUGAGCAGAUUAUUUUGCAACUUUCAAACUCCAAAAUGGUCCGAUUGACCACCCAAAACUCACCUGAGGCCCUCGGGACCUCAACCCAAAGCACCAACACAUCCUAAACCCUCAUUCAAACUUUCUCCAAUAAUCAAAACACCUCGAACAACAACAAAUCCACCAAUUCACAUCGAAUUCAAGCCUAAGUUUUCUAAAAACUUCCGAAAUAUGCUUUUGAUCAAAAACCCAACCAAACCAUGUCCGAAUGACCAGAAAUUUUGCGCACACAUUCCAAAUGACAUAACGAAGCUACAACAACUCUCAGAAUUCCAUUCCGACCUCUAUAUCAAAAUCUCACCUAUCCAUCGGAAAACGCCGAAAUCUCACUUUCGCUAAUUCAAGCCUAAACCUUCCACGAACUUCCAAAAUGCAUUCCAAUCAUGCUCCUAAGUCCUAAAUCACCUGAUGGAGCUAACAAAAUCAUAAAAUUCCCAUCCGAGAUCAUAUACAAUUAAGUCAAAUAUUGGUCAAACCUUUAGAAUUUCAAGCUUCAAACUGAGAACUAUUCUUCCAAAUUCAUUCCGAUUUUUCCUGAAAACCUAAACAAACGAUUUAAAUAAGUCAUAAUUCAUCACACAGGGCUAGUCAUGCCCAAGAACUAGCGAGCAAAGUGCAAAAGCUCAAAGCGACUGGUCGGGUCGCUAUAUCCUCCCCCACUUAAACAUACGUUCGUCCUUGAACGUGCCCAGUGUAGUUCCAAAAGCCAACCAAUCGCUGAAUAACCUUACCAUGCACAUACCCGGGGGUGAUCCCACGUCACCCUAUCACAUAUAGGUCCGAUAACACAAUGCAACUGAAAUUUCACAAUCCGACCUAGCCCAUAAACCUUAGAACCACAUUUCCACUCCUGAGAUCAUCCACAAGAUCAAAAUAUCACAUCUAUACUCCGAAUAAGCCCGAACUGGCUGUAAUAACCCAUACAUGCAACCUUAGGUGCAAUUACAUGGUAUACCACAUACCUCAACCACUUGUAGCGAUAACUUCUAAUCUUAACAGCUGCACACAACAACCGAAUACCGGUAGAAAACCUCUUAUCAACCAAAAUCUCAUCCCAACACUUCCAUAUGCUGCCAAUGAUAAAUAAACCACACAGUAAGCCAUAACCAUUCCUCAGAUCAACCAUUUAUGAAGCCACUUCUCCUUUGGCAAAAACCAUAGCAAUUUCUGAGCCGAACCUCAAUAUUGUCCUUCCAACAUGCUGAAAUCGAAUCCGUUCAUACUCAUUAAUGAUCCCAAUGAUCUCCUUUGAUCCAACACACUACUCUGGUGACAUGACAUAUCAAUACAGUCUUAAGCCACAACUUGUAUAAUACACGCACCAAUAAGCAACGGUCCGAACAUACUCAAAUCAUAAAAAUAACUCUAACGAAAGAGCUGCCCCUCAAGCUCACCAAUACCAUCACAACACAAGGCUGAGAACCCGUCUCUUAUCAUAGAAAUAUAACACAUGAAUCUAACCCGCAAGGUCAUAACUCCACAUAGCUUCAUUGCAACGCGCGAUCCUAUCCAAACGCUGCUCCACACGAAACUCCUCGAGUCACUAUGCUCGAAAUUGACAAACACACACAAUUUGAUGUCUGGAACCAAAGAAAAUCAUUACACCCACGGUGAGACAAAUAACAUACACCAUGCAAACCCGAAAGAACAUAACCGAUACGACAUUCACCGAGAAACACCCAAUCACUCUUCCCGCUCGACUUCCACUAUGAAACUCCGACAGAACCGCACUAUAGGUGCCUAUAAUCAACAGAUCAUAACGCCUCGCAACACAGAAAGGUAACUCAUAGAUCUCCCCAGAUUACCAAUAAGCUCAAUAACAACCGAAUCAACACAUCCUUCGCCUACAACAACUCGAUGUCAACAAGGCCGUCUCGAUACCGGACAUAUAUCCAUAUAGGUCUACCAAUGGACCACACAUCAACUCUAGUUACCCACAACAGAUAAAUAAUCCUUCGAAGGUUCACAGUGACUGAAUCAUAGCACAUACUAACAUCUGACUAACUUACCCACAUUUUGCCAUCCACAACCACGAGCUAACCUGCGUAUGAGAACUUCCAGUCUCCAAGUCCAUAAAAUACAUGAAGUACCAUAUCUGAUCCCAAUUCCACCACUCGCAUAUAUAACUCACCUCUAGUACUCAAUCAUUCCACGAGCGAUACUCUAAGAUUCCUCUAUGAUGCCAAGCAAACCCGAAUAUUAGCAGCUGAUCUGACAAGAAGUGAUGCAAUACUACCGGAGUACCAUCAACUUAAUCACAUCACCUCUCUCUGAAUCAUAUACCCUCAUCCAAUCACCUCAAUUAGCAUUACCAUUUCCUUAAUCAUCUAAAGAGUAUUUCUCAAAUUAUCUGAAGCUCAUUUCUUCAAUUUAUCUGAACUGCCCGUGCUGCCUAAGAAUUUAUGACCUUCCUUUCAAAUCUGAACCGUGACCUUACACAUGCCAAUCUUACUCCUACACAACAUACCGCAUAAACCGUACUAUUCUAGGAUAACCACAAGAACCUUGUAUCUCUUCCGAGCCACAAGCAAUUAUGUACUCAACCAACCAAGAACUUUUCAUUGUUACCAUCUAGAAGAAAAUCACUAUACAUACCAUGCUCCUCAUGCCCAUAGAAAAUAUACAUUUCCAACCGAGGUUGAAACCAUCAAGAACUCUCCGAGUUCCCCUUGCACAAACCAGACCUGCCAGGACUGAAUCCUUCGAACUCAACCAAGCUACGCAGAUCACUAAAACCCAAGAGAAUUGCCGAGAAACACCUGUAGAAACGCAUUACCUCGCAAGCAUCCAAAGAACUAAUGUAUCCUUACCAUACCAACUCGGCCUACUACCAGGCUAUCCCAUCUAUCCGAAUUUCCUUCUGAUUUACCUUCAACUUGGUACUCACUCUUGCUAUAACAUCACAAUUUCUCAACCCAGAAUUACCACACGGGACCCAAGCAUAAAGCCACACCGUCUAAGGCUCAUAAGCCGCUGAAUACUUUCUCAGAUAUUCCCACGAGCACCAUGAUCAAAGUACUUUUCUCUGAAGAGACUUCUUGCGAAUCUAAAUCUGUUACCUUUACCUUCCUGGUACUGAUACAUAGAAUUUCAUAAUUUAUAAAGAAUUUACCACAAGUCUCGAUAUAUUCCAAUGAAAACUCAGUUUCUAACCACAGAUACAACUUUAAAAUACCCAAUUGUUAUAUGUAAAAUCUUGAACACAUUAGAACCAUUCUUGAGAGUCAUUCACUCUAUUCAAACUGCAAUUAGCCUGAUCAAAUGAACAGAGCCACCCUUGCCUUAAUAGCACUCCGACACCGUAGGGUGUAACCUCAUCCUAUAACAACCAAGCCACUUUCUGCUCUAUGCAUCGAGCAUCCAAUACCACAACAGCUCAAGACACUCUAAGAUUCCCAUACACCUAUGAAGCAUGACAUAACCUCUGUCAACAUUUUUCCUUUACUUGAGACAUCCUCGGUCUCAGUCCCCGUAAGCCAUAACUAAUUCACUAGUGUGCCUCAAACUGGAACCAACAUAGCACAUAACCGUGCAAUCAACAAAUCAACAACAGACUCCCCCACUUGGCUCGAAACCAUAGAUCAAAACACACUCAAUAUCGCAUAACACAUAUACUCUAUUGAUGCCAUAAUACCAUAGUGAAAUUAAACUCAAAUCCUUUGUAAGCUUGCGAAAACACAAAUCAUCUAGUACUUUAACUCUUCUGCAAAUCUCGCAUUCACUCUCACAACAGUUAGUCCCCCUCUCUUAAGUUACCCAUUUAAAUUAUGACACAUAUCUUUCACCUGCAUAUGAGAUCUGCUAACAGACAGCAUAAAGAUCGCACAACUUCCGAACACUUCGCAGGAGAUAACCCACCUGAUUUGCCUCAAACUAACAUUCCCGCAUACCUUCCACCGUCGUAAACUUUACACAGUCACUUAGUCUUCCUGAGUCUGAACCCAUACCGCAACAUGAAAUUUACUUCACUCCCAACUAACAUGAAAAGAUUCUUCACACGCCCAUAACUCGGGGCUAUACCUCGAACCAAGAUGGAAUUCAAACACCUAAUAGUUCUUCUAUCCUCAGCGGACCUUUCUCGUCGCUUCUAAAUCAUAUGGAUAUGUCUCGCAAUACUAACAUACUUAUCACAUAGCCAUCCAACUAUCGCUCCCUCUAAUAGGGACAAUGCUGAACAUAUAAGUUGAAAAACACUUGCUCACACAAUCAGCACCUCGGUGCUCAAGCCAUAGGCAAAGAUCCGGCCUCAAGUCCUCCAGACUGGCCCAACAUCAACUCACAGAGAUCACAUCUCGCCCCCCAAUCGAGGACUCACAAGCCAUCGAUGCAAAUCUGAUAUUGAGCACUCAUGCGCGCAUACGAACGCGUGGAAGGAAUCCAAAGAGUUACAUUUCAAGCUGAAUCAAGGACGCAUAAUAAGAAUUCAAGAACUUGAAGUUUACCUAAAGGUUCUACAACCUCUCGAGGAUAAAUACAGACGUCUCCGUACUGAUCCGCGAGACUCUACUAAACCUGCUCAUGUCUCGUGAGACCUAUGUAACCUAGGCUCUGAUACCAACUUGUCACGACCCCAAACCGGACCCAGUCGUGAUGACGCCUCUCAUGAAGACAAAGCCAGCUGACACAAUUCACAAAUCAACCAUUUUCCAUUUAAAAGUGAUUUUUAUACCAUUUAUAACCCAUUAAUCUCAUAAUGAGUGUUUAAAAGAACAAUGAGGAAUAAUUACACAAGCCCGACAUCGGGGUGUCACUAGUCAUGAGCAUCUACCAAGGUCUAAAUACAACAAAACAGUCAAGUGUACUAAGUACAGAAAUGGAAAUGAGAUGAAUAAACAGUGUUGCGAAUGUCGUGCAGCCACCUUACUAACUCUGAUGACUCCGCGUCUGAGCAAUCAAUACCCGCUACCGGGUUCUGAAAUACCUGAAUCUGUACACGAGGUGCAGGGAGUAAUGCGAGUACUCCAACGCAGUAAGUAAUAAGAGUAAAUAAAGACUGAGCAGUAGGAAAUAAUGAAUACAUAUUCAUGAUAACUCAAUAAGCACACAGGCUGCUGAUUCAGAAUACGAGUCGAUCGUCUUAUUAAAAUCCAGCCUUUUGGUAAAAAUAAUUUGAAAAUGCUUUCCGACAGUUUCAGUAGGGGUUCAAUACCAUUUAUAUUAAAAGAGAUAAAAAACCAUAAUCAGCCUCUCGGGCAAAACAUAGUUCGUAAACAACCCCUCGGGCAAAACAGGAAUCAUAAACACCUCAUAAUAUGAAAAUAUCAAUGGAAAUAACAAAGCCAAAUCAGUGAUUAAAUUCUGAACAUCUCAUAAACCCCAGCUUAAAUGAAAGUUGUUUUAAAACAUUUGUUCAAUACUUUCGACAGAGGCUCAAUAUAAAGAUGAGUGAAAACAGACAAUAAAUCAACAUAUUCGAUAGAAACUCAUUUUAAAGAGGAGUGAAAAUCAAUAAGUUCAUAAACAGGCCCCUCAAGAAAAAUAUCACUCAUGUGCAUGUAUAUAUCUAUUGCUCCUCGGGAAAGCCUCUCAGUCACUCGUGACUCAAACUCUUACCAAUUAGCGCUCACACUCAGCACUCACACUCAAUAGGUACCAUAUAAUAACCGCUGCGGUGCGCAACCCGAUCCAUAUAUCGUUGCGGCGUGCAGACCAAUCCAUAUAUCUCGUCGACGACGCUCACUGGGGGUGUGCAGACUCCGGAGGGGCUCCUACAACCCAAGCGCUAUAUCGCUAUGGCGUGCAGCCCGAUCCAACAUAUCGUUGCGAUGUGCAGCCCGAUCCGAUAUAGGUNNNNNNNNNNNNNNNNNNNNNNNNNNNNNNNNNNNNNNNNNNNNNNNNNNNNNNNNNGCAGCGUGCAGCGCGAUCCAUUAACUAUAUAAUCCUCACAACCAGGUUCUCGGCCUCUCUCAGUCAUUAACCUCACAAUCAAACUCUCGGUCUAUCUUAGUCAUCAACCUCACGAUCACUCGGACCAUUAGUAAAAUAGGGAACUCAGCCCAAACAGUUUUCAUAUUUUUAAGAAAUAAAGUGAUAAACCAGAUUUAAACAAUAAACAGGUAACACACGACUGAGGAUAUGCUUUCAAAACAAAUAGAGUGAUGCAAAAAUAGUGGAAGUGCCCCUAAGGGUCUCAGCAGGUCGGCACAAGGCCCCAAACAUAGCAUACAACCCAAAAUAUAAUAACAUUAAACAAUUAACUAUCAAUUACGCAUUAAAAUAAUCGUUCGGAAUGGACUAGGUCACAAUCCCUAGUGGUGCUCUACCCCACGCUCGUCAUCUAGCGUGUAAGUCACCUCAACAUAGCACAACGAUGUGUAAUCCAGGGUUUCAAACACUCAGAAUAGCAUUUUCAAUAAUUACUUACCUCGAACCGGCUAAAUCUCUAGCUCGUGACGCCCUUGCCCCUCAAAUCAGCCUCCACGCGCAUCGAAUCUUUCCAAAAUCAGAACGAAUACGUCACAAUAUGCCAAGGGAACAAAGCCCAAGCAAAAACAAAUCGAAAAAUGCUUAAAAUCCCGAAAUUAGCAAAACCCGAGCCCUGGGCCGACUUCUCGAAACUCAGAAAUUUUCAUAUCAAUAGAUUCCUUAUCUCCCCAUGAGUUCAUACAUACCAAAAGUUCUCACAUCCGACCCCAAAUGGUCUUCCAAAUCCCUAAUUAAAAUUUCCAAAAUUUCAAGGCUUAGUUCUUCCAUUUUUAGCUUAUGUUCCAUGAAUUUCUAGGUUGAUUUCACAAUAGAAUCAAGUUUUAGGUUCAAAAAAUCUUACCUCGAAUCGGUUCUCUUUGAAUCCCUCUUUAAUUUCCUUCAUAAAGCUCUCAAAAUGAUCAACAAUGGAGGAAAUGAUCCCCAAAAUUGCGGAUGAAGUGACUUAAAACAUUAUGCCCAUGUCUGACCCUCCCUUCUUCGCGAACGCGGUCAACGCCUCGCGUUCGCGAAGCACAAACUUAUGUUGACCAAUUUUUGCCAUACACGAACAUGUCACACCGAUCGAGAUCGCGAUGCUUCUACCUCCUACACCUUCGCGAACGCGACAACCUUACGCGAACGCGAUGAACAAAAUACCUUGGACCCCAAUUUACUCUAUGCGAUUGCGAGUGCCUUCUCGCGAACGCAAUGCACUGCUUCCCAUCCUUUCGUGAACGCGAAGGCUUAAUUCUGGCCUUCCUCAAAUACUUCUACGCGAACGCGAGGCUCCACACGCGAACGCGAAGAGAUAAUUCUCUACAACAGCUGAGCAGAUUGUUUUGCAACUUUCAAACUCCAAAAUGGUCCGAUUGACCACCCGAAACUCACCGAGGCCCCCAGGACCUCAACCCAAUGCACCAACACAUCCUAAAACAUAUUUCAAACUUGCUCUAAUCAUCAAAACACCUUGAACAACACCAAAUCCACCAAUUCACAUCGAAUUCAAGCCUAAGUUUUCUAAAAACCUCCGAAAUACGCUUUUGAUCAAAAACCCAACCAAACCACGUCCGAAUGACCUGAAAUUUUGCAAACACAUCCAAAUGACAUAACGAAGCUACAGGAACUCUUGGAAUUCCAUUCCGACCUCUAUAUCAAAAUCUCACUUAUCCAUCGGAAAACACCGAAAUCUCACUUUCACCAAUUCAAGCCUAAACCUUCCACCGACUUCAAAAAUGCAUUCCGAUCAUGCUCCUAAGUCCCAAAUCACCUGAUGGAGCUAACCAAAUCAUAAAAUUCCGAUCCAAGAUCAUAUACAAGCAAGUCAAAUAUUGGUCAAACCUUUCGAAUUUCAAGCUUCAAACUGGAAACUGUUCUUCCAAAUUCAUUCCGAUUUUUCCUGAAAACCAAAACCAACGAUUUAAAUAAGUCAUAAUUCAUCACACGGGGCUAGUCAUGCCCAAGAACUGGCGAGCAAAGUGCAAAAGCUCAAAUGUACCGGUCGGGUCAUUACAUUAUUGGAAGACCAUAGUGACUUAACAGAUUCUUGGUCCUUAAAAAUGGCAGUUCUACAAGAACUUCUCUUCGGGAUUAAAAGAUAUCAUCUGGACAUCUAGAAAAAAACCUCUGAAGAAAAAUCAUUUUUUCCUUGUAAUCAACACAAUUUUGUUCUGGGCAACAGAAACUAUUGACUUUUCACUCUGCUAAGGUCAGCAAAUUGCUAUUGGGAGCGAGGAGAUUACAAGGGAUUUGACUUUGACUAAUGAUAGACAAAAAGGAGUUAAUGAUAAGGUAGCUUCAGGUGAUCGAAUAACUAUGCAAGAGGAUGGUUUGAAUCGAGAAAACAAUGGUAGUAAGCAGCAAAGCGUUACACUGGUGGCUCAAGAAGGUAAUAGUGAUCGAGCUAUUGUUGAUCGAGUGGAGCAUGUUGUAAUGUCUGAAGCUAUUGUUGCUAUCAGGGGUGACAUUACUGCUGCUUCAGGUCAAGUUAAAGCUGGGAAAAAUAUUGAGGGUGUAGGUGUGGAUCAGGUCAAGAAAAAGCCAACUAGAGAGGAUAAGAGGUUGAAGGAUAUUCUUGCUGGUACGAUUUUCGUAAGGAUGUACACAGCUAUUGCUGGUACAGUGAAGUCUGAUGCUGAUCGAGCUAAUACUCAAGCAAACCUGAUAUGGUUCAACUGGUUGGGGCAUCUGGUAAUGUGAAGGAGUUACAAGAUCAUCAGUUGGUGAAGAAAAUAGCAGCAUUGGUGAAGUCUCAAAAUCAAAGUCCUACCAUUGCGAUGAAGUUUUCAAAGGAUGGGAGUUCAAGUUUGAAGGUUGUUAAUGCUGUGAAUACAACUGGCAUGGCUGUUUUAGAUGGUUCACUUGCUACAGGUGAUGAGGCAGAUGUUCAGCAAGUUCAAAAACUAGUAGUUGAUGCAACAUGAAAGGGAAAAAUCUGGACAUGAAAGUGUUCGAGUUGCUGCAAAUUCUAGUAGCAAUUCUGAUGGUAAUAUUGGUGCACCUAUAUCUAGAUUGAAUACCAAUAAAUUGGUCAAUAAUGAGAAGAAAAAUAUGGUGGAAGGUUGGACCACAGUAGCUUGCAAAAAGACCGGUACAACACAAACCAUAGUGUGUGUACAUGUAAUUUUUUUGCAGAAAUAAUUUAUUUUCCUAUAUUGUUAGCUUUAUUCGACCCAAAAGUUAAAAGGGACAUCAUCUCUUGAACACUCAUAAAUAUUCCCCUAUAUAAGCCUGGUUGGACUAAACAACAUCGUAUAAGACAAAAUUUUACAAGUAAUGUAUUUUAUGUAUUUAAAAAGCAGGAACAAGAGCUCAAGAGACUUGAAGGUCAUAGAAUUGGAGAAAAAAGAGUGAAAGGAAAUAAAAUCACAAAGAAUCAAAAAAGUGCUGACAACAAUGUACAAUGGAGUUGGCUCUAAGAAGAGUCGAGUUAAAUCAAUUGCAUAUGAACCCAACAUAAUAUAUCAAUAUGUUACAUUGCUAAUUUACAUCACUGUUUCACUUCAUCUAAUUUUUAAAAAUAUUAAAUUUGGGUAAUAAGUUGGCUAUAUAACUUAAAUAACCCAUAAAAAUCAUGGUAAAGAAACUGCACUAGAGCACAUAAUGAUAAAAAAAUUCAACCAAUUAAUCACCUCAUAUGAAAAACCACAAGACAUCCACAAAAUUUUCAUCAUAGAGAUAGAAAGAUGCAACGAAGUGAAAGGACUCAUAACCAAAAGUGCGCCUCCAUUAUGACUGUAAGCCUUCGUUAAUCUUUUGAUUCUUCGCCCAAGUCUCGGUUUCUUCUUUUAACUUUUUCUUCUUUAAUAUUCUUGUAUAUAUACACAUACUCCAUCUCUUUUUGUAUUUUUGUCUGCUUUGGAAUCUUAGAUUAUUACGUUAUGCAAUGUGAUUCACUCCAUAUUUGCUAGAUUUUAUCUCAAAUCAUUUGAAUUCCAACUAAUGUCUCCAUCUUUUUCUUUAAAUUGCAGGUUUUAUUUAUUGAAUAAGCCCAUAACUAUGGAUUUUGGGGAUAACAAUAUUUUUGAAGGUAGGCUUGCUGCUAGCAGCGACCCUACUAGGAGCCAAACUCAUGACCCUUCAAGCAAGUCCCCAGAAGAAUUGUAUAACGCAAAUCUCAAAGGAGAAAACUAUUGCAGAGAAGAAACUCUACAAGAAAAACUCAAAUUUCUCCUCCUUGACCUACGAGCUCAUCUUUAAACCAAUAUUCUCACUUUUAUCACUCACACAAUAACUAUCACUAUUCUAAACAACCCAAUCGCAUAAAACAACUAAAGAAACAGAAAAUUACAGAACCCAAUUUUUGAUUUCUGGUUUAAUCGGAAAAAAAAAACAAGAAAAAUAAAAAAGGAAACAAAACAAAUAAAAGAGAAAGAAAUUAAACUUACUCUUGAUUAGGCAGAUAAUCCAAUGGCAGAGUUUGUGUAAAGUAUUGAAAUUUGCCCCCAACCUUCUGAGUUUGAGGUGAUGAAUUUUACAACCUUUUGAAUUCUGACUGAUAAAGUUUGCAACCUUCUAAACUUUGAAUAGAAUUGAAGUCACCGCUUAAUUAGGGAUUGCAGCGUGAAAGUGAUAUUUUGGGAGAGAUUUUAGGGUGAAAGUGAAUUUUUGAAGGGAUUUUACAGUGAAAAUAUAUUUUUG
RNAcentral lists this long non-coding RNA (13085 nucleotides) under Nicotiana tabacum (common tobacco). RNAcentral's name for it is "long non-coding RNA (NTAB_LNC010645)". The record is from RNAcentral. Lineage: Eukaryota; Viridiplantae; Streptophyta; Magnoliopsida; Solanales; Solanaceae.